AAAAAUUAUUGGCUAAGAUCAAGUGUAGUAUCUGUUCUUAUCAGUUUAAUAUCUGAUACGUCCUCUAUCCGAGGACAUUAUAUUAAAUGGAUUUUUGGAGCUGGGAGUCGGAAUAGGGGCUAAAAAAAAUUAUU
This is a non-coding RNA of Erinaceus europaeus (western European hedgehog), 134 nucleotides long. NCBI's taxonomy places the organism in Eukaryota, Metazoa, Chordata, Mammalia, Eulipotyphla, Erinaceidae. The record is from Rfam.